Molecule: transfer RNA, 71 nt
Filed under: Ornithorhynchus anatinus (platypus)
Lineage: Eukaryota; Metazoa; Chordata; Mammalia; Monotremata; Ornithorhynchidae
Rfam family: tRNA
About the family: Transfer RNA (tRNA) molecules are approximately 80 nucleotides in length.
Source: Rfam by way of RNAcentral
AGCAGCGUGGCUCAGUGGAAAGAGCCUGGGCUUGGGAGCCAGAGGUCCUGGGUUCUAAUCCCACUCUGCCA